GACAGAGGGUGCAAACGUUGCUCGGAAUUACUGGGCGUAAAGCGCGUGUAGGCGGCUUUGUAAGUCCAACGUGAAAGCCCGGGGCUCAACCCCGGAAGUGCGUAGGAUACUGCGAAGCUGGAGUCCUGAAGAGGAGAGCGGAAUUCCCGGUGUAGAGGUGAAAUUCGUAGAUAUCGGGAGGAACACCUGUGGCGAAGGCGGCUCUCUGGGCAGGUACUGACGCUGAGACGCGAAAGCGUGGGGAGCAAACAGG
Molecule: ribosomal RNA, 253 nt
Filed under: uncultured bacterium
Lineage: Bacteria
Description: partial 16S ribosomal RNA
Rfam family: Bacterial small subunit ribosomal RNA
Source: RNAcentral